RNAcentral lists this ribosomal RNA (253 nucleotides) under uncultured bacterium. RNAcentral's name for it is "partial 16S ribosomal RNA". It matches the Rfam family "Bacterial small subunit ribosomal RNA", at positions 524 to 776 of the family's 1533-position model. The record is from RNAcentral.
UACGGGGGGGGCAAGCGUUGUUCGGAAUUACUGGGCGUAAAGGGCUCGUAGGCGGCCAACUAAGUCAGACGUGAAAUCCCUCGGCUUAACCGGGGAACUGCGUCUGAUACUGGAUGGCUUGAGGUUGGGAGAGGGAUGCGGAAUUCCUGGUGUAGCGGUGAAAUGCGCAGAUAUCAGGAAGAACACCCGUGGCGAAGGCGGCUCUCUGGGACGGUACUGACGCUGAGACGCGAAAGCGUGGGGAGCGAACAGG